RNAcentral lists this ribosomal RNA (253 nucleotides) under uncultured bacterium. RNAcentral describes it as "partial 16S ribosomal RNA". It matches the Rfam family "Bacterial small subunit ribosomal RNA", at positions 524 to 776 of the family's 1533-position model. The record is from RNAcentral.
UACAGAGGUGGCAAGCGUUGUUCGGAAUUACUGGGCGUAAAGGGCGCGUAGGCGGCCUUCUAAGUCAGACGUGAAAUCCCCCGGCUUAACCUGGGAACUGCGUCUGAUACUGGGAGGCUAGAGUGCGGGAGAGGGAUGCGGAAUUCCAGGUGUAGCGGUGAAAUGCGUAGAUAUCUGGAGGAACACCGGUGGCGAAGGCGGCAUCCUGGACCGACACUGACGCUGAGGCGCGAAAGCUAGGGGAGCAAACAGG